AGCAGUAGGGAAUCUUCGGCAAUGGACGAAAGUCUGACCGAGCAACGCCGCGUGAGUGAAGAAGGUUUUCGGAUCGUAAAACUCUGUUGGUAGAGAAGAACGUUGGUGAGAGUGGAAAGCUCAUCAAGUGACGGUAACUACCCAGAAAGGGACGGCUAACUACGUGCCAGCAGCCGCGGUAAUACGUAGGUCCCGAGCGUUGUCCGGAUUUAUUGGGCGUAAAGCGAGCGCAGGUGGUUUAUUAAGUCUGGUGUAAAAGGCAGUGGCUCAACCAUUGUAUGCAUUGGAAACUGGUAGACUUGAGUGCAGGAGAGGAGAGUGGAAUUCCAUGUGUAGCGGUGAAAUGCGUAGAUAUAUGGAGGAACACCGGUGGCGAAAGCGGCUCUCUGGCCUGUAACUGACACUGAGGCUCGAAAGCGUGGGGAGCAAACAGGAUUAGAUACCCUGGUAGUCCACGCCGUAAACGAUGAGUGCUAGAUGUAGGGAGCUAUAAGUUCUCUGUAUCGCAGCUAACG
RNAcentral lists this ribosomal RNA (515 nucleotides) under uncultured bacterium. RNAcentral's name for it is "bacterial SSU rRNA". It matches the Rfam family "Bacterial small subunit ribosomal RNA", at positions 350 to 857 of the family's 1533-position model. The record is from RNAcentral.